Molecule: long non-coding RNA, 646 nt
Filed under: Homo sapiens (human)
Lineage: Eukaryota; Metazoa; Chordata; Mammalia; Primates; Hominidae
Description: HSALNT0298115
Source: RNAcentral
UGGGGCUGGCCGGGCUACUCGGGCCACGCAGCUGGAACCUGGAAAUUAGGAUUGGAAUCCUGAACUCCUAAAUCCAAACUACAGACUGGAAGUUACCAAAAAAUGUCACAGUGGUUCCUUGAUCAGGUAGAAAGAUGACAGAGCCCAACAUACCAGAACCUAGAAAGGAGGCGAAGGAGGCGGUCUAGAGGGAAGAGCACUUUGGUCAAAGGAUCAGGUGCAUAAAUGCGGAGGAAUGAGGAUGCCCGGCUUGCUGGAGGAUCAAGGGAAGUCCAGAUGGCCUGCAGGAGCCAAGAAGUCUGGAGCAGCCAAAAAAACACAAAAGAAGUGCAACAAAAGAAGCUCCUGCCUUGACUGAUUGACCAGCCUUACGACGUUCCACCAUUAUGAAUUGUUCCUGUCCUGCCCCAACUGAUCAAUCGACCUUGUGACAUUCUUCUUCUGGACAAUGAAUCUUAUGAUCUCCCCACCAUGGACCCUGUGACCCCCUCCUCUGCUGACAAUAGAUAACCACCUCUAACUGUAACAUUCCACUGCCUACCUCAGUCCUAUAAAGCUGCCCCUCUCCUAUCUACCUUCGCUGACUCUCUUUUCGUACUCAGCCCACUUGCACCCAAGUGAAUAAACAGCCCUGUUGCUCACACAA